CCCUUAGAUGUUCUGGGCCGCACGCGCGCUACACUGACGAAUGCAACGAGCUUAUAAUAACCUUGGCCGAAAGGUCUGGGUAAUCUCCAAAUUUCGUCGUGAUGGGGAUAGAUUAUUGCAAUUAUUAAUCUUCAACGAGGAAUGCCUAGUAAGCGCAAGUCAUCAGCUUGCGUUGAUUACGUCCCUGCCCUUUGUACGCACCGCCCGUCGCUCCUACCGAUUGAAUGGUCCGGUGAAGCGUUCGGACCGUGGCCUUUGGACGGUUCGCCGUCUGUUGGCUGCGGGAAGUUCGUUAAACCUUAUCAUUUAGAGGAAGGAGAAGUCGUAACA
RNAcentral lists this ribosomal RNA (330 nucleotides) under uncultured eukaryote. Its description in RNAcentral is "partial 18S ribosomal RNA". It matches the Rfam family "Eukaryotic small subunit ribosomal RNA", at positions 1470 to 1796 of the family's 1831-position model. The record is from RNAcentral.